UACGUAGGGUGCAAGCGUUAAUCGGAAUUACUGGGCGUAAAGCGUGCGCAGGCGGUUGUGUAAGUCAGAUGUGAAAUCCCCGGGCUUAACCUGGGAAUUGCAUUUGAGACUGCAUGGCUAGAGUGUGUCAGAGGGGGGUAGAAUUCCACGUGUAGCAGUGAAAUGCGUAGAGAUGUGGAGGAAUACCGAUGGCGAAGGCAGCCCCCUGGGAUAACACUGACGCUCAUGCACGAAAGCGUGGGGAGCAAACAGG
RNAcentral lists this ribosomal RNA (253 nucleotides) under uncultured bacterium. RNAcentral describes it as "partial 16S ribosomal RNA". It matches the Rfam family "Bacterial small subunit ribosomal RNA", at positions 524 to 776 of the family's 1533-position model. The record is from RNAcentral.